UGUAGGGUAAGCUGGUCCACAUUACAGCCUAACUAAGGCUGUGAUAGGGUCGGAGGUGACCCAGUUGGGGGCGGGCACUAAUGUCCGCGGAGGUUCGAUUCCUUCCCCUCCGC
RNAcentral lists this transfer RNA (113 nucleotides) under Actinomycetota bacterium. RNAcentral's name for it is "tRNA-OTHER". Lineage: Bacteria; Bacillati; Actinomycetota. The record is from RNAcentral.